Long non-coding RNA from Quercus robur (English oak), 1280 nucleotides. RefSeq lists it as uncharacterized. The record is from RefSeq and is a predicted model, not a curated record. The transcript has 3 exons. Lineage: Eukaryota; Viridiplantae; Streptophyta; Magnoliopsida; Fagales; Fagaceae.
ACCAUUUACUGCCUCUUAUGACUUAUCUUCUUCUUCUCUCUACACAAUUUUUUUUCUUCUCUCUUUUUCUUCCAAACCACCAAUCUGUACUGUGAUUUCAACUCCUUCACAACCCAGCCUCAGCACCGAUCUCUCUCUACUAAUCCAGAUCAACAAAAAAUUUGGAACCCAAGAACAUUUGGGAAGAGCCAGAAAAAAAAAUGGAGCUCAAAGCCUCAAACGCUGUUUGUGAUCUCUGUUGGUUGGUGGAUGUGCAAGAGAAGAGAUAGACGGUUGCAGGUUUGAAACUCUGUUUUGUUUACUUAUUUUUGGUUUCUGGUACUACGAAAUCAUGGUUGCUGUGAAAAUUAGGGACAAAUGGAAGGAAAUUGAGGAUUUUUGGUGUUCCCUUUCAGAAUCGAAAAUUCGGAGCUCAAUUCUCCCAAAAUACUGAGAUUUGAAUUUUUGUACGCAUGUUUGUGUGAAAGUUUGGUUUUUUACUCGGAUGGGUCAGAAUAUUUAGUGUUAUAUUUAGAUUAUAUGAAUGAAAGUUUGGAUAUUUACUUAGGUUGAAUUUGUGUUGUGCUUGCUAUUUGUAGUUGUCCUUAUUUGCUGUCGUUCUUUCUACGGAGUAGGAUUGGUUUUUCAUGGAUGAAUCAUUGUAAUCUGUAAUCUUCAGUAGAAUGCCUUUUUGGUUGUUGGAGGUAAAGAGAUUAGAGGCUCUAUCUCUAAUCUGAAGGGGCCCUGUGGUUUACCCCAAGCCUCGGUGAGUUGUGGUUUUGGCUAACAGUCCAUUGAGGUCCUUGAGAUGGCACAAGUCAUCAAGCAGAGGUUUGUGAUUCCAAGGCUGCAGCAGAGCAAGGGCUGUUGCUUUGGUUAAACCAAUCUAGGAGCUGGAACAGGUAGCAAAUAGGUUGAUGUAAGAAGCAUAUCAAAGAGUUUGUGCAGGAUCAAGGAGAUUCCUCUCACAGUAGAUGUGGAAGCACCCUUCCUUGGCUUGAUACUAAGGUUUGGUUUUCUACAAGAGUGGAAGAUGAAGUGCAAUAAAAUCAAGUGGUUCACAAUGAUAGAAUAUCUUAGUGUUGUGCUAGAUGUAAACAAACUCAUUAGAAUUUGAAUGUGUAUUACAUACUAUCACCUUGUAGCGUAGAGCUAUAUCUGAAAGCUUAGUUUCUAUAUUGAUUGAAUUUAGCUAGAAAACAUGCUUUGUUUGAUUUUGUAAAGAACCAUCGGCUAUGAUUACAAGGUAGACAUAGUGCUUGAUACUUUGGUAGUGGAUGUGUCUAACUAUAUUUGGUAGU